RNAcentral lists this transfer RNA (76 nucleotides) under Anaeromassilibacillus sp. Its description in RNAcentral is "tRNA-Gln". It matches the Rfam family "tRNA". From Rfam's summary of the family: Transfer RNA (tRNA) molecules are approximately 80 nucleotides in length. Their secondary structure includes four short double-helical elements and three loops (D, anti-codon, and T loops). Further hydrogen bonds mediate the characteristic L-shaped molecular structure. tRNAs have two regions of fundamental functional importance: the anti-codon, which is responsible for specific mRNA codon recognition, and the 3' end, to which the tRNAs corresponding amino acid is attached (by aminoacyl-tRNA synthetases). tRNAs cope with the degeneracy of the genetic code in two manners: having more than one tRNA (with a specific anti-codon) for a particular amino acid; and 'wobble' base-pairing, i.e. permitting non-standard base-pairing at the 3rd anti-codon position. Lineage: Bacteria; Bacillati; Bacillota; Clostridia; Eubacteriales; Acutalibacteraceae. The record is from RNAcentral. RNAcentral also lists the same sequence under 3 other names.
UGGGCUAUAGCCAAGCGGUAAGGCAACGGACUUUGACUCCGUCAUCUCGCUGGUCCGAAUCCAGCUAGCCCAGCCA